UACAGAGGUCUCAAGCGUUGUUCGGAUUCAUUGGGCGUAAAGGGUGCGUAGGCGGCGCGGUAAGUCGGGUGUGAAAUCUUGGAGCUUAACUCCGAAACUGCAUUCGAUACUGCCGUGCUUGAGGACUGGAGAGGAGACUGGAAUUUACGGUGUAGCGGUGAAAUGCGUAGAUAUUGGGAGGAACACCAGUGGCGAAGGCGGCUCACUGGACCGGUUCUGACGCUGAUGCGCGAAAGCGUGGGGAGCAAACAGG
This 253-nucleotide ribosomal RNA is filed under the name uncultured bacterium. RNAcentral's name for it is "partial 16S ribosomal RNA". It matches the Rfam family "Bacterial small subunit ribosomal RNA", at positions 524 to 776 of the family's 1533-position model. The record is from RNAcentral.